Long non-coding RNA from Hydra vulgaris (swiftwater hydra), 455 nucleotides. RefSeq lists it as uncharacterized. Lineage: Eukaryota; Metazoa; Cnidaria; Hydrozoa; Anthoathecata; Hydridae. The record is from RefSeq and is a predicted model, not a curated record.
UUUAUUUACUUAUCUUAAGAAUAAUGAAAUAUAAAAAAGGUUCAAAGUUGAGAAUAGUUUUGAUCUUUACUAGUGUGAUUUUAUCGCCAAGUUUCUUGAAUGUGAUCAAUCAUUUCUCGAUACAAAUGUUGCAAAAAGUCGUAUAUUUUUUAUUAUGGUUGAAUGUUUAGUUUUAUUUUUAAGGAAAUAGAAGUUAUUAAAUGUUGGUGGCUCAUCAUGCAGUGCAUAUGAGAAGGGCAUGCUUUCAAAGGUUAAGACUGCUCCCCUGAUUCCUACAGCAAAAAAAACAACUUUAAAAUGCUGGUGAUAAUAUUUUAAAGAGUGCACCUGAUCGAAAAAAAGGUGAAUGACGUCAAAUGUUCGAACAUUCGAUUCUUGGAAAUCAACAAGUGGAAUAAGAAGUUUAUAAAAUUGUAAUUUAUAAAACUCAUCACAAUUAUAUUAUUAAAAAAUUU